GGGUUGUGAGGUUAAGCGACUAAGCGUACACGGUGGAUGCCCUGGCAGUCAGAGGCGAUGAAGGGCGUGCUAAUCUGCGAUAAGCGCCGGUAAGGUGAUAUGAACCGUUAUAACCGGCGAUACCCGAAUGGGGAAACCCAGUGUGACUCGUCACACUAUCAUUAACUGAAUCCAUAGGUUAAUGAGGCGAACCGGGGGAACUGAAACAUCUAAGUACCCCGAGGAAAAGAAAUCAACCGAGAUUCCCCCAGUAGCGGCGAGCGAACGGGGAGGAGCCCAGAGCCUGAAUCAGCAUGUGUGUUAGUGGAAGCGUCUGGAAAGGCGCGCGAUACAGGGUGACAGCCCCGUACACAAAAGCGCAUGUGCUGUGAGCUCGAUGAGUAGGGCGGGACACGUGGUAUCCUGUCUGAAUAUGGGGGGACCAUCCUCCAAGGCUAAAUACUCCUGACUGACCGAUAGUGAACCAGUACCGUGAGGGAAAGGCGAAAAGAACCCCGGCGAGGGGAGUGAAAAAGAACCUGAAACCGUGUACGUACAAGCAGUGGGAGCACCCUUUGGGUGUGACUGCGUACCUUUUGUAUAAUGGGUCAGCGACUUAUAUUCUGUAGCAAGGUUAACCGAAUAGGGGAGCCGGAGGGAAACCGAGUCUUAAUUGGGCGUUAAGUUGCAGGGUAUAGACCCGAAACCCGGUGA
This 693-nucleotide ribosomal RNA is filed under the name Salmonella enterica. RNAcentral describes it as "partial 23S ribosomal RNA". It matches the Rfam family "Bacterial large subunit ribosomal RNA", at positions 1 to 728 of the family's 2925-position model. The record is from RNAcentral. Lineage: Bacteria; Pseudomonadati; Pseudomonadota; Gammaproteobacteria; Enterobacterales; Enterobacteriaceae.